This 367-nucleotide RNase P RNA is filed under the name bacterium. RNAcentral's name for it is "RNase P RNA component class A". It matches the Rfam family "Bacterial RNase P class A". Rfam says of the family: Ribonuclease P (RNase P) is a ubiquitous endoribonuclease, found in archaea, bacteria and eukarya as well as chloroplasts and mitochondria. Its best characterised activity is the generation of mature 5'-ends of tRNAs by cleaving the 5'-leader elements of precursor-tRNAs. The record is from RNAcentral.
UGAAGGGCGUAUCUCGUCGCGCACAUUGUGUUUCAAUUUAAGCAACCUCUGUGUGAGGAAAGUCCGGACUUCGCAGAGCAAGAUGCCGCCUAACGGACGGACGGCGUAAGCCGAUGGACAGUGCCACAGAAAACUACCGCCUACGGACCCUGGGUCCCGGUAAGGGUGAAAACGUGCGGUAAGAGCGCACGGGCCUCACUGGUAACAGUGGGUUCGGGUAAACCCCAUCUGAAGCAAGGUCAAAUAGGGCAUGAGAGACGGCUCGUCUCGUACCAAUGCCGGGUUGACUGCUAGAAGCUGUGUGUGAGCACAGUUCCAGAUAAAUGACGAGACUUGACAGAAUCCGGCUUAUCGCGCCCUUCAUUAC